AGUGAACGCUGGCGGUAGGCCUAACACAUGCAAGUCGAACGGCAGCACAGUAAGAGCUUGCUCUUACGGGUGGCGAGUGGCGGACGGGUGAGGAAUACAUCGGAAUCUACUUUUUCGUGGGGGAUAACGUAGGGAAACUUACGCUAAUACCGCAUACGAUCUACGGGUGAAAGCAGGGGAUCUUCGGACUUUGCGCGAUUGAAUGAGCCGAUGUCGGAUUAGCUAGUUGGCGGGGUAAAGGCCCACCAAGGCGACGAUCCGUAGCUGGUCUGAGAGGAUGAUCAGCCACACUGGAACUGAGACACGGUCCAGACUCCUACGGGAGGCAGCAGUGGGGAAUAUUGGACAAUGGGCGCAAGCCUGAUCCAGCCAUACCGCGUGGGUGAAGAAGGCCUUCGGGUUGUAAAGCCCUUUUGUUGGGAAAGAAAAGCAGCAGGUUAAUACCCCGCUGUUCUGACGGUACCCAAAGAAUAAGCACCGGCUAACUUCGUG
Molecule: ribosomal RNA, 492 nt
Filed under: uncultured bacterium
Lineage: Bacteria
Description: partial 16S ribosomal RNA
Rfam family: Bacterial small subunit ribosomal RNA
Source: RNAcentral